RNAcentral lists this ribosomal RNA (241 nucleotides) under uncultured bacterium. Its description in RNAcentral is "partial 16S ribosomal RNA". It matches the Rfam family "Bacterial small subunit ribosomal RNA", at positions 92 to 334 of the family's 1533-position model. The record is from RNAcentral.
CGACCGGCGCACGGGUGCGUAACGCGUAUGCAACCUACCUUUAACAGGGGGAUAACACUGAGAAAUUGGUACUAAUACCCCAUAAUAUCAUAGAAGGCAUCUUUUAUGUUUGGAAAUUCCGAUGGUUAGAGAUGGGCAUGCGUUGUAUUAGCUAGUUGGUGGGGUAACGGCUCACCAAGGCGACGAUACAUAGGGGGACUGAGAGGUUAACCCCCCACACUGGUACUGAGACACGGACCAG